RNAcentral lists this ribosomal RNA (250 nucleotides) under uncultured bacterium. Its description in RNAcentral is "partial 16S ribosomal RNA". It matches the Rfam family "Bacterial small subunit ribosomal RNA", at positions 524 to 773 of the family's 1533-position model. The record is from RNAcentral.
UACAGAGGUCUCAAGCGUUGUUCGGAUUUAUUGGGCGUAAAGGGUGCGCAGGCGGUGUGGUAAGUUUGGUGUGAAAUCCUGGGGCUCAACCCCAGAAAUGCACUGAAUACUGCCAUGCUAGAGGACUGGAGAGGAGAUUGGAAUUCACGGUGUAGCAGUGAAAUGCGUAGAUAUCGUGAGGAAGACCAGUGGCGAAGGCGAAUCUCUGGACAGUUCCUGACGCUCAUGCACGAAGGCUAGGGGAGCAAAC